UAGCCGACCUGAGAGGGUGAUCGGCCACAUUGGAACUGAGACACGGUCCAAACUCCUACGGGAGGCAGCAGUGGGGAAUAUUGCACAAUGGGCGCAAGCCUGAUGCAGCAACGCCGCGUGAGCGAUGAAGGCUUUCUAGUCGUAAAGCUCUGUCCUUGGGGAAGAAAAAAAUGACGGUACCCUUGGAGGAAGCCCCGGCUAACUACGUGCCAGCAGCCGCGGUAAUACUUAGGGGGCGAGCGUUAUCCGGAAUUAUUGGGCGUAAAGAGUAUGUAGGUGGUCUCUUAAGCGCAGGGUUUAAGGCAAUGGCUCAACCAUUGUUCGCCCUGCGAACUGAGUGACUUGAGUGCAGGAGAGGAAAGCGGAAUUCCUAGUGUAGCGGUGAAAUGCGUAGAUAUUAGGAGGAACACCAGUGGCGAAGGCGGCUUUCUGGACUGUAACUGACACUGAGAUAUGAAAGCGUGGGGAGCAAACAGGGAUUAGAUACCCUGGUAGUCCACGCCGUAAACGAUUGAGCACUAGGUGUCG
RNAcentral lists this ribosomal RNA (528 nucleotides) under uncultured bacterium. RNAcentral's name for it is "bacterial SSU rRNA". It matches the Rfam family "Bacterial small subunit ribosomal RNA", at positions 284 to 825 of the family's 1533-position model. The record is from RNAcentral.